This 449-nucleotide ribosomal RNA is filed under the name uncultured bacterium. Its description in RNAcentral is "bacterial SSU rRNA". It matches the Rfam family "Bacterial small subunit ribosomal RNA", at positions 349 to 793 of the family's 1533-position model. The record is from RNAcentral.
CAGCAUGGGGAAUAUUGCACAAUGGGCGCAAGCCUGAUGCAGCCAUGCCGCGUGUAUGAAGAAGGCCUUCGGGUGUAAAGUACUUUCAGCAGUGAGGAAGGUGGGUAUGUUAAUAGCAUACUCAUUUGACGUUAGCUGCAGAAGAAGCACCGGCUAACUCCGUGCCAGCAGCCGCGGUAAUACGGAGGGUGCGAGCGUUAAUCGGAAUUACUGGGCGUAAAGCGCAUGCAGGUGGUUUGUUAAGUCAGAUGUGAAAGCCCGGGGCUCAACCUCGGAAUUGCAUUUGAAACUGGCAAACUAGAGUACUGUAGAGGGGGUAGAAUUUCAGGUGUAGCGGUGAAAUGCGUAGAGAUCUGAAGGAAUACCGGUGGCGAAGGCGGCCCCCUGGACAGAUACUGACACUCAGAUGCGAAAGCGUGGGGAGCAAACAGGAUUAGAUACCCUGGUAG